Molecule: ribosomal RNA, 254 nt
Filed under: uncultured bacterium
Lineage: Bacteria
Description: partial 16S ribosomal RNA
Rfam family: Bacterial small subunit ribosomal RNA
Source: RNAcentral
GACGUAGGGCGCGAGCGUUGUCCGGAUUUAUUGGGCGUAAAGAGCUCGUAGGCGGUUGGGUAAGUCGGGUGUGAAAACUCCAGGCUCAACUUGGAGAGGCCACCCGAUACUGCUCUGACUUGAGUUCGGUAGGGGAGUGGGGAAUUCCUGGUGUAGCGGUGAAAUGCGCAGAUAUCAGGAGGAACACCGGUGGCGAAGGCGCCACUCUGGGCCGAAACUGACGCUGAGGAGCGAAAGCGUGGGUAGCAAACAGG